UAACAAGGAUUCCCCUAGUAACUGCGAGUGAAGCGGGAAAAGCUCAAAUUUGUAAUCUGGCGGCCUGUGUGGUCGUCCGAGUUGUAAUUUAGAGAAGCGUCGCCCGCGCCGGACCGUGUACAAGUCUCCUGGAAUGGAGCGUCAUAAAGGGUGAGAAUCCCGUCCAUGACACGGACUACCGGGGCUUUGUGGUGCGCUCUCGACAAGUCGAGUUGUUUGGGAAUGCAGCUCAUAAUGGGUGGUAAAUUCCAUCUAAAGCUAAAUGUUGGCGAGAGACCGAUUGCGAACAAGUACCGUGAGGGAAAGAUGAAAAGAACUUUGGAAAGAGAGUUAAACAGUACGUGAAAUUGUCAAAAGGGAAACGAUUGAUGUCAGUCGCGUCCUUCAGGGAUCAACCUGGCCUUCACGGGCCUGGCGUACUUCCUGUCGGACGGGUCAGCAUCAGUUUUGACCGGUGUUGAAAGGCUUAGGGAAUGUGGCACCUUCGGGUGUGUUAUAGCCCUUGGUCGCAUGCAUCGGUCGGGACUGAGGAACUCAGCGCGCCCGCAAGGGCCGGGUCUUCGGACCACGUCCGCGCUUAGGAUUGCUGGCAUAAUGGCCUUAAUCGACCCGUCUUGAAACACGGACCAAGGAGUCUAACAUGCCCACGAGUGUUUGGGUGGCAAACCCGGACGCGCAAUGAAAGUGAAAGUUGAGACACCUGUCGUGGGUGGCAUCGACGCCCGGCCCUGACGUUCUCUGACGGUGCUGCGGUAUAGCGUGUAUGUUGGGACCCGAAAGAUGGUGAACUAUGCCUGAAUAGGGUGAAGCAAGAGGAAACUAUGGUGGAGUCUUGUAGCGAUUUUGACGUGCAUAUCAAUUGUCGAAUUUGGGUAGAGGGGCGAAAGACUAAUCGAACCAUCUAGUAGCUGUUC
This 914-nucleotide ribosomal RNA is filed under the name Fistulina hepatica. RNAcentral describes it as "eukaryotic LSU rRNA". It matches the Rfam family "Eukaryotic large subunit ribosomal RNA", at positions 66 to 957 of the family's 3401-position model. The record is from RNAcentral. Lineage: Eukaryota; Fungi; Basidiomycota; Agaricomycetes; Agaricales; Fistulinaceae.